CCUACGGGAGGCAGCAGUGGGGAAUAUUGCACAAUGGACGGAAGUCUGAUGCAGCAACGCCGCGUGCGGGAUGACGGCCUUCGGGUUGUAAACCGCUUUCAAUUGUGACGAAGCUUUUUGUGACGGUAGCAGUAGAAGAAGCACCGGCUAACUACGUGCCAGCAGCCGCGGUGAUACGUAGGGUGCGAGCGUUGUCCGGAUUUAUUGGGCGUAAAGAGCUUGUAGGCGGUUUGUCGCGUCGGGAGUGAAAACUUGGGGCUUAACCCUGGGCUUGCUUUCGAUACGGGCUGACUUGAGGGAGGUAGGGGAGAAUGGAAUUCCUGGUGGAGCGGUGGAAUGCGCAGAUAUCAGGAGGAACACCGGUGGCGAAGGCGGUUCUCUGGACCUUUCCUGACGCUGAGAAGCGAAAGCGUGGGGAGCGAACAGGAUUAGAUACCCUAGUAGUC
Molecule: ribosomal RNA, 446 nt
Filed under: uncultured Propionibacteriaceae bacterium
Lineage: Bacteria; Bacillati; Actinomycetota; Actinomycetes; Propionibacteriales; Propionibacteriaceae
Description: bacterial SSU rRNA
Rfam family: Bacterial small subunit ribosomal RNA
Source: RNAcentral